RNAcentral lists this ribosomal RNA (483 nucleotides) under uncultured bacterium. RNAcentral describes it as "bacterial SSU rRNA". It matches the Rfam family "Bacterial small subunit ribosomal RNA", at positions 903 to 1397 of the family's 1533-position model. The record is from RNAcentral.
AAAGGAAUUGACGGGGCCCCGCACAAGCAGCGGAGCGUGUGGUUUAAUUCGAUGUUACACGAAGAACCUUACCUGGGUUUGACAUGUACGUGGUAGGGAAGCGAAAGCGGACCGACCCUUCGGGGAGCGUACACAGGUGCUGCAUGGCUGUCGUCAGCUCGUGCCGUGAGGUGUCGGGUUAAGUCCCGUAACGAGCGCAACCCCUGUCCUUAGUUACAAGUGUCUAAGGGGACUGCCGGCGGUAAGCCGGAGGAAGGUGGGGAUGACGUCAAGUCAGCAUGGCCCUUAUGUCCAGGGCUACACACACGCUACAAUGGCCAGUACAACGGGCAGCGAAACCGCGAGGUGGAGCGAAUCUCAGCAAAGCUGGUCAUAGUUCGGAUUGCAGGCUGCAACUCGCCUGCAUGAAGCUGGAGUUGCUAGUAACCGCGCGUCAGCUAUAGUGCGGUGAAUACGUUCCCGGGGCUUGUACACACCGCCCGU